Molecule: transfer RNA, 82 nt
Filed under: Actinomycetota bacterium
Lineage: Bacteria; Bacillati; Actinomycetota
Description: Actinobacteria bacterium tRNA-Ser
Rfam family: tRNA
About the family: Transfer RNA (tRNA) molecules are approximately 80 nucleotides in length.
Source: RNAcentral
CGUAGCUCAGUGGAUAGAGCGUCGGACUACUAAUCCGAGGGUCGGGUGUUCGAAUUGGCAGGGCAAAGCACCUCGACUGCCA